Nilaparvata lugens (brown planthopper) is the source of this 947-nucleotide long non-coding RNA. RefSeq lists it as uncharacterized. The record is from RefSeq and is a predicted model, not a curated record. The transcript is spliced from 2 exons. NCBI's taxonomy places the organism in Eukaryota, Metazoa, Arthropoda, Insecta, Hemiptera, Delphacidae.
GGAGCUUACAAGAAUUGAUACCUGAUCAGAAUUAUCCCAUGAUCAGUGCCUCGCAUUUGAAAACACAACAUGGUGAUAGAAUUCUAGUGAAACUUGAAGUUGAUGGCCAAAACAAGUUAUACAUUUUACCAGAACGCUACUUCAAAGAGAAAAUGUUCAAUUUGGACGAAAAAGAUAAUAAAAUCGACAUGACUGGUUAUUCAAUGUCUGUUCAACCAUAUGGUAGAACAUUUACUAUUAAAGUAAACCAGAGCGAGUGUACAUCAACACAAUAGAAAUCAAAACCAAACAGAUGAUUUCAAAAAUUAUUAGAUUAAAUGUUGAUGCUGUCGAAGUAAGUUACAAUAUUGAUCGUCAGUGUAUGAGAAUAAGACACGCAGAUUCCGCAAUUGUAACAGCUUCUGUUCAACAAGAAAAUUGUGGAACUUAUUGUGUUAGAUUCAUAUUUAAAAUGAAUAUAAAUAGGUUAUGGUUUGAGGUUGAAUUGACAGUGAGAAAAGCAGAUUUUUCAUGUGUAGAAACAGUUCUUAAGUCAAACAGUGCGUCAUUUUUCUUCUCAUCAUUUCUUUUGAAAGGUACAUAAUUAUUUUAAAGUACUCAUCAACUUCAACAUUAUAAAGACUCUAUAGUGUGUGUGUGUGUGUUUAUUCAUGUUUUAUAUAUAUAAAUCUUUGCACUUAUUGAUGUAUGCUACUAUAUAUAUAGCACUGUUACCUUCAGAAGAAGAAGAAGAAGAAGAAGAAGAAAAUCAUAAUGUUUUGAAAUACAAAAUGUAUGUGUUUUUUGUCAAAUCAAAUUUGUGUCUUGUAUGUCACAUAUAGGUUAAUAGCACUCAAUCAUGUUUGUUUAACAAAAAAAGAGUAAUCGAAAAACGUUUUGUGCGUCCUGUGUCUGUGUGUGUUCAUUACCAUAAUGUGUUAAUAAAAGAAAAAAACAUAACUGAAUCA